GCUCUCCCCGCCUCCGGGAGGUGGGGGCUGGGAGCCAUCCUCGUCUCCGCCCCCUCCCCACCGCGCACUGAGAGAUGAACUGGCAAGAGGUCUGUUUGCCUGGACCCAUCAACAGCUGGGAGACUAAUCAACCACACUGAAAAUGUUUACGGGAUUGUGGGGGAGGGGUUGGAAUGUAGAUGUUUGAAACAAAUGUGUAUAAAUAAAUGAAUUGUUGAUAACUUAGUUAUUGACCUGAAGACUGGUAGCUUGUUAAAGAAACUCCAUGUUUCUCCUUCCUGGAGUUGGGGUUUCUGUAGGCACUUUAUUUCUCCACUUUCAAAGGCUUGGGCUUGGCCCAACUCUGAGGCUGCCCAAUCCCGCUUCUAUUACCAAUUUAAAUCUAUGGCUUGAACCUCUACACUAAAAAA
Molecule: long non-coding RNA, 410 nt
Organism: Mustela erminea (ermine)
Lineage: Eukaryota; Metazoa; Chordata; Mammalia; Carnivora; Mustelidae
Exons: 2
Source: RefSeq, a predicted model, not a curated record